AGCCGCGCAACUUCCCGGGAGCCCGGGCCAAAGUGAGCGCAAAGUGCUGCCCAAGUUGCCGGGAUGGAGCUGCAGAGCCGGCCCGAGGCGCUCGCCGUGGAACUCGCGCGCCACCAGAACGGCGACCUCAAGAAGCAGCUCCACGAAAGGCAGCCGCGGAUCGCCGCGCUCAGCGACAAACAAGUAAGCGAUGGGAUCGCGGCCCCCCCUGGGAUGGGGCGGGAGGGUGGCUGGGCACUUUGGCGGCGCCCUAAAAAGUGCCAGCCUGGGCGACGCACGCUCAGACUCCCAGAGGGGUCUGUCUCCAGUUCUCAAAGUUCCCCACCCCUCCCCUUUCCUGGAAAGAAAGAGCCGGGUUCUCGGAGGCGGCAGGGAGAGCCGGGCCCUGCGGGGGCCGAAGAGAGGAGCUCACUUAAAAGGCAGCGCGCGGCCCGGCGUCCAUUUUGAGGUGGUGGACAUGUUUUUGGAACGUGGCGAUUUCUCCCGGCUCGGAGUCCCCCGCUUUGCGCUGAGGCGGCCAUGGGGGCGGAGGGGGGCGGCCGUGGGGGCCUGGACACCAAACUCGUUGGAAGCGA
This 575-nucleotide long non-coding RNA is filed under the name Homo sapiens (human). Its description in RNAcentral is "non-protein coding lnc-KIAA0930-4:1". Lineage: Eukaryota; Metazoa; Chordata; Mammalia; Primates; Hominidae. The record is from RNAcentral.